RNAcentral lists this ribosomal RNA (497 nucleotides) under uncultured bacterium. RNAcentral describes it as "partial 16S ribosomal RNA". It matches the Rfam family "Bacterial small subunit ribosomal RNA", at positions 28 to 507 of the family's 1533-position model. The record is from RNAcentral.
GAUGAACGCUGGCGGCGUGCCUAAUACAUGCAAGUCGAGCGAACGGACGAGAAGCUUGCUUCUCUGAUGUUAGCGGCGGACGGGUGAGUAACACGUGGAUAACCUACCUAUAAGACUGGGAUAACUUCGGGAAACCGGAGCUAAUACCGGUUAAUAUUUUGAACCGCAUGGUUCAAAAGUGAAAGACGGUCUUGCUGCCACUUAUAGAUGGAUCCGCGCUGCAUUAGCUAGUUGGUAAGGUAACGGCUUACCAAGGCAACGAUGCAUAGCCGACCUGAGAGGGUGAUCGGCCACACUGGAACUGAGACACGGUCCAGACUCCUACGGGAGGCAGCAGUAGGGAAUCUUCCGCAAUGGGCGAAAGCCUGACGGAGCAACGCCGCGUGAGUGAUGAAGGUCUUCGGAUCGUAAAACUCUGUUAUUAGGGAAGAACAUAUGUGUAAGUAACUGUGCACAUCUUGACGGUACCUAAUCAGAAAGCCACGGCUAACUACGUG